AUGAAGGAGGAGCUGGAGAGCAUGCAGGCCUUCUUCCGAACUGUCGAGCGCUUCAAGGAUGCAGACGAGACAACUGUUGCAUUUGUGAAGCAGAUCAGGGGCCUUGCCUUUAACAUCGAGGAUGUUAUCGACGAGUUCACCUUCAAGCUGGGGGAGGACCGUGAGGGGAUGUUUCUGUUGAAAGCAAUUAGGAGGGUCAAGCAAAUCAAGACAUGGUACCGGCUAGCCAACAAUUUGCGUGAUAUCAAAGCAAACCUCAAGAGUGCUGCAGAGAGGAGGCGCAGGUAUGACCUCAAGGGUGUUGAGAGGGACGCAAAACUGACAAGAAUAGGCAGCUUAAGUAUUAGACCUGCAGAGUCUGUACAUUUUAAAAGGGCAGAUGAUCUUGUGGGGAUUGCGGAGAACAGAGACUUGCUGAAGAAAUGGAUGAAAGAUGAGGAGCAGCGACACAUGAUCAUCACUGUUUGGGGCAUGGGAGGUGUUGGUAAGACAACACUUGUUGCGCAUGUCUACAACGCCAUCAAGACUGACUUUGACACCUGUGCUUGGAUCACUGUGUCUCAUAGCUAUGAGGCUAAUGAUUUGCUAAGACAGAUUGUUGAAGAGUUCCGAAAGAAUGACAGGAAGAAGGAAUUUCCGAAGGAUGUUGAUGUCACAGAUUACAGAAGCCUGGUGGAGACAAUCCGCCGUUACCUAGAGAAGAAAAGGUAUGUUCUUGUCCUAGAUGAUGUUUGGAGUGUGAAUGUUUGGUUUGACAGCAAAGAUGCGUUUUUUGGUGGCAAGCUUGGUCGGAUAAUUUUCACAUCAAGGAUAUAUGAGGUGGCACUGCUUGCUUCCGAAGCCCAGAUGAUUAACCUGCAACCCUUGCAAAAUCACUAUGCAUGGGAUCUGUUCUGCAAAGAGGCAUUUUGGAAGAAUGAAAACAGAGACUGUCCACCAGAAUUGCAGUAUUGGGCAAACAAGUUUGUGGAGAAAUGCAAUGGCUUGCCGAUUGCUAUUGUGUGCAUCGGGCGCCUACUGUCAUUCAAGAGCGCGACUUUUCUGGAGUGGGAGAAUGUAUACAAAACUCUUGAGCUGCAAUUUACAAACAAUUGCAUCCUGGAUAUGAACAUAAUCUUGAAGGUUAGUUUGGAAGACUUGCCACACAACAUGAAGAACUGCUUUCUUUACUGCUGCAUGUUCCCAGAGAAUCAUGUGAUGCAAAGGAAGUGGCUAGUGCGGCUCUGGGUCGCAGAAGGAUUUAUUGAGGCGAGUGAGCAUAAGACGCUGGAGGAGGUCGCAGAGGAUUACCUGACCGAACUCAUCAACCGGUGCCUGCUGGUGGAGGUUAAGAGGAAUGAAUCAGGAUAUGUCGAUGAUUUCCAGAUGCAUGACAUCCUUCGUGUGUUGGCCCUCUCCAAGGCACGCGAAGAGAAUUUUUGUAUUGUCCUCGAUUACUCAAGGACCAAUCUUAUUGGGAAAGCACGCCGUUUAUCAAUCCAAAGAGGGGAUAUCGCGCACCUUGCAGAGUCCGUGCCGCAUCUCCGCUCCUUGCUUGUCUUCCAGAAUUCGCUGACUUUUGGCUCGCUCCGUUCGUUCUCAAGGUCUGUUCAGUUAAUGUCUGUCUUGAACCUGCAAGAUAGUUCGAUUGAGAGCCUGCCAAACGAGGUGUUUGACUUGUUCAACCUGCGUUAUCUGGGCCUUAGACGGACCAAAAUUGCAAAUAUCUCACGGCUGAUUGGAAGGCUGCAGAAUCUGCUUGUGUUGGACGCCUGGAAAAGCAAGAUCACCAACCUGCCAGUGGAAAUCACAAGGCUCUCUAAGUUGACGCACCUCAUCGUCACUGUGAAGCCACAGAUACCGGCGAUGCAGUUCGUUCCUUCCAUUGGCGUGCCGGCGCCUAUUGGCAUGUGGUCUUUGGCGAGCCUGCAGACAUUACUGCUGGUGGAAUCCAGCUCCGAGAUGGUCCGUUACCUCGGUGCUCUGGUUCGAUUGAGGUCGUUCCGCAUCAGUAGAGUCCAAGGCCGCCAUUGCGAAAAGCUCUUCAAAGCCAUCACCAAUAUGGUCCAUCUCACCCGGCUCGGGAUCCACGCGGAUGACGACCAGGAGGUUCUGCAGCUCGACGCGCUCAACCCGCCCCCGUUACUCCAGAAGCUUUUCUUGCUAGGGACGUUGGAGAAAGAAUCACUGCCCCGGUUCUUCUUGUUGAUCAGCAAACUGAAAAGCCUCACCAUCCUGCGGCUCGUCUGGUCAAAGCUCGAGGAGGACAUGUUCUGCUACCUCGAGGAGCUGCAGCAGCUGGUGAAGCUCCAGCUCUACGAUGCGUUUGACGGCACCAGGAUGCGCUUCCGGGAGACGUCGUUUCAGAAGCUCCGGGUGCUCAAGAUCUGGGGAGCCCCGCGUCUCAGCCAGAUGACGAUAAGAAGCGGGGCGAUGCCCAGCUUGGUCGAUCUCAAGCUCCUGCUCUGUCCGGAGUUGAAGUCGUUGCCGUGCGGGAUCGAACACGUGGCCACGCUUGAAGAGCUGACCCUGGAUUCCACGGCGGAAGAGGACAACAUAUCUCAUGUUCAGAGAGUCUACGUCGGGUUCGUCAGGAACCGCGAGCUCGCUGCAGAGAGGAUUCAGUAG
RNAcentral lists this ribosomal RNA (2607 nucleotides) under Triticum aestivum (bread wheat). Its description in RNAcentral is "partial small subunit ribosomal RNA". The record is from RNAcentral. Lineage: Eukaryota; Viridiplantae; Streptophyta; Magnoliopsida; Poales; Poaceae.